This 72-nucleotide transfer RNA is filed under the name Dierogekko insularis. RNAcentral's name for it is "tRNA-Trp". Lineage: Eukaryota; Metazoa; Chordata; Lepidosauria; Squamata; Diplodactylidae. The record is from RNAcentral.
AGAAAUUUAGGUUAACACCUUAAACCAAGGACCUUCAAAGCCCUAAACAGGGAACACAACUCCCUAAUUUCU